Non-coding RNA from Gorilla gorilla gorilla (western lowland gorilla), 150 nucleotides. It matches the Rfam family "Metazoan signal recognition particle RNA". Rfam says of the family: The signal recognition particle (SRP) is a universally conserved ribonucleoprotein. It is involved in the co-translational targeting of proteins to membranes. The record is from Rfam. NCBI's taxonomy places the organism in Eukaryota, Metazoa, Chordata, Mammalia, Primates, Hominidae.
GCAGGGCGUGAUGGCUCAUGCCUGUAAUCUCAGUUACUAGAGAGGCUGAGGUGGGAGGAUUGCCAGAGCCCAGGAGUUUUGAAGGUGCAGUGAGCUAUGACCAUGCCACUGCACUUCCAGCCUUGGUGACAGAGCAAGACCCUGUCUCAC